This is a non-coding RNA of Callorhinus ursinus (northern fur seal), 264 nucleotides long. NCBI's taxonomy places the organism in Eukaryota, Metazoa, Chordata, Mammalia, Carnivora, Otariidae. The record is from RefSeq and is a predicted model, not a curated record.
CGUGAGUCCAGAGAGAAUGGUGUAGGCUUAGUAAUGAAAGUGUCCUGACAGCUAACACUCAAAAAUCUAUAUCCCAAUUAUCUGCUGUGCGAACCUCCCCCGAGGGCUGGCCAUGUAUCACCUGGGAGUCACCUGCUCGAAUGCUGGUUGCAGCUCUUCCCCAUCUUCCUGAUCCCGUAUUUUAUAUUCCGUGGAGGGCUCUCUCCCCCUGACUUAUGUGCACAUCUUUGCCUCACAGCUGCUCUGCUCUCAUCAACGUGCCUC